This 559-nucleotide ribosomal RNA is filed under the name Coenosopsia michelseni. RNAcentral's name for it is "partial small subunit ribosomal RNA". The stretch from base 403 to 474 matches the Rfam family "tRNA". Lineage: Eukaryota; Metazoa; Arthropoda; Insecta; Diptera; Anthomyiidae. The record is from RNAcentral.
UAGUUAUGUUCUUGAAACUUAAAAAAUUUGGCGGUAUUUUAGUCUAUUCAGAGGAACCUGUUCUAUAAUCGAUAAUCCACGAUGGACCUUACUUAAAUUUGUAUUCAGUUUAUAUACCGUCGUUAUUAGAAUAUUUUAUAAGAAUGUUAAUUUUCAAAAUUUUAAAAAAGAAAAUAUAUCAGAUCAAGGUGUAGCUUAUAUUUAAGUAGAAAUGGGUUACAAUAAAUUUAUUUAUAUGAAUAAAAAUAUGAAAAAUUUUUUGAAAGUGGAUUUGAUAGUAAAAUUAUAAAGAUUAAUAAUUUGAUUUUAGCUCUAAAAUAUGCACACAUCGCCCGUCACUCUUACUAUUAAGGUAAGAUAAGUCGUAACAUAGUAGAUGUACUGGAAAGUGUAUCUAGAAUGCAAUUUAAAGCUUAUUUAGUAAAGUAUUUCAUUUACAUUGAAAAGAUUUUUGUGCAAAUCAAUAUAAAUUGAUUAAAUUUUAUUUAUUUAUUUUUUUUUAAAAAAAAAUUAAUUAUUAAAAAUAAUUAUAAAAAAUAAUGUUUUAGUAUUUAAUAAA